RNAcentral lists this ribosomal RNA (486 nucleotides) under uncultured bacterium. RNAcentral describes it as "bacterial SSU rRNA". It matches the Rfam family "Bacterial small subunit ribosomal RNA", at positions 28 to 507 of the family's 1533-position model. The record is from RNAcentral.
GAUGAACGCUAGCUACAGGCUUAACACAUGCAAGUCGAGGGGCAGCACAGUGUAGCAAUACAUGGGUGGCGACCGGCGCACGGGUGCGUAACGCGUAUCCAACCUUCCCGUUACUCUUGGAUAGCCUUCCGAAAGGGAGAUUAAUACAAGAUGGUAUUCAAAUUCCGCAUGUUAUUUGAAUUAAAGAUUAAUCGGUAACGGAUGGGGAUGCGUGACAUUAGAUAGUAGGCGGGGUAACGGCCCACCUAGUCUACGAUGUCUAGGGGUUCUGAGAGGAAGGUCCCCCANACUGGAACUGAGACACGGUCCAGACUCCUACGGGAGGCAGCAGUGAGGAAUAUUGGUCAAUGGUCGGAAGACUGAACCAGCCAAGUAGCGUGAAGGAUGAAGGUUCUAUGGAUUGUAAACUUCUUUUAUACGGGAAUAAAACACCUUACGUGUAGGGUCUUGUAUGUACCGUAUGAAUAAGCAUCGGCUAACUCCGUG